Molecule: small nucleolar RNA, 107 nt
Filed under: Arabidopsis thaliana (thale cress)
Lineage: Eukaryota; Viridiplantae; Streptophyta; Magnoliopsida; Brassicales; Brassicaceae
Also listed under: 2 other names
Description: Plant small nucleolar RNA R71
Rfam family: Plant small nucleolar RNA R71
About the family: R71 is a member of the C/D box family of snoRNAs containing the C (UGAUGA) and D (CUGA) box motifs.
Source: RNAcentral
AACCCAUGAUGAGGACACUCCCUAUAGUAGUCCUUAAACCUCUCCCAAGCUUCAUGGAAUGACUCUGUGCCUCCUUGUUGGAAGCUAAUGAUCUUAUUCCUUAGGAC